This 504-nucleotide ribosomal RNA is filed under the name uncultured bacterium. RNAcentral's name for it is "partial 16S ribosomal RNA". It matches the Rfam family "Bacterial small subunit ribosomal RNA", at positions 30 to 523 of the family's 1533-position model. The record is from RNAcentral.
AUUGAACGCUGGCGGCAGGCCUAACACAUGCAAGUCGAACGGUAGCACAGAGAGCUUGCUCUCGGGUGACGAGUGGCGGACGGGUGAGUAAUGUCUGGGAAACUGCCCGAUGGAGGGGGAUAACUACUGGAAACGGUAGCUAAUACCGCAUAGCGUCGCAAGACCAAAGUGGGGGACCUUCGGGCCUCACACCAUCGGAUGUGCCCAGAUGGGAUUAGCUAGUAGGUGGGGUAAUGGCUCACCUAGGCGACGAUCCCUAGCUGGUCUGAGAGGAUGACCAGCCACACUGGAACUGAGACACGGUCCAAACUCCUACGGGGGGCAGCAGUGGGGAAUAUUGCACAAUGGGCGCAAGCCUGAUGCAGCCAUGCCGCGUGUAUGAAGAAGGCCUUCGGGUUGUAAAGUACUUUCAGCGGGGAGGAAGGCGGUGAAGUUAAUAGCUUCACCGAUUGACGUUACCCGCAGAAGAAGCACCGGCUAACUCCGUGCCAGCCGCCGCAGUAA